RNAcentral lists this long non-coding RNA (552 nucleotides) under Microcebus murinus (gray mouse lemur). Its description in RNAcentral is "lncRNA (ENSMICG00000048724.1)". Lineage: Eukaryota; Metazoa; Chordata; Mammalia; Primates; Cheirogaleidae. The record is from RNAcentral.
GACAUGGAGAUACAGGCAUAGGCAGAGGCAUGGACUUGGAAGGGGUUUCAAAGAGGCAGUAUGGUGAAACAGGAGGAGCCCUGCCUGGCUGGUCUCCCUUCAAUGUCACUCCGCAGAACUCCAAGGUAUGGCCACUUUGUUUAAGCCACUUGCAUCAAUGCCCUGUCCUCCAACAGUACUUUUAAGAAAUGGUAUACAAUUCGUUUAUCUUGGGCUCACUUGACGAGCUUCAAACUUCGGACUCUAGAAUAGCUAAUUAAACUGCAUGGGAAUAUUGGGAAAAUAAUAAGUUAAAUAUGUAAAAGGUAAGAUUGUUGUAUUAGAUUAAUAACCACCACAGAUUUAAAUUCUUAAGCGCAACCAUAUCAGUGGAACCAUUGCUUUUGGCUUUAUUUUAUUAUUAUUAUUUUUUGAGACAGAGUCUCGCUUUGUUCCCCAGGCUAGAGUGAGUGCUAUGGCAUCGGCCUAGCUCACAGCAACCUCAAACUCCUGGGCUUAAGCAAUCCUGCUGCCUCAGCCUCCCGAGGAUCUGGGACUACAGGCAUGUGCCAC